CUACGGGCGGCUCCAGUGGGGAAUAUUGCACAAUGGAGGAAACCCUGAUGCAGCAACGCCGCGUGGAGGAUGACACUUUUCGGAGCGUAAACUCCUUUUAUAUAGGAAGAAGAUGACGGUACUAUAUGAAUAAGCGCCGGCUAACUCCGUGCCAGCAGCCGCGGUAAUACGGAGGGCGCAAGCGUUACUCGGAAUCACUGGGCGUAAAGAGCGUGUAGGCGGAUUAAAAAGUCAGAAGUGAAAUCCUAUAGCUUAACUAUAGAACUGCUUCUGAAACUCUUAAUCUAGAAUAUGGGAGAGGUAGAUGGAAUUUCUGGUGUAGGGGUAAAAUGCGUAGAGAUCAGAAGGAAUACCGAUUGCGAAGGCGAUCUACUAGAACAUUAUUGACGCUGAGACGCGAAAGCGUGGGGAGCAAACAGGAUUAGAUACCCUUGUAGUC
This 439-nucleotide ribosomal RNA is filed under the name uncultured bacterium. Its description in RNAcentral is "partial 16S ribosomal RNA". It matches the Rfam family "Bacterial small subunit ribosomal RNA", at positions 339 to 795 of the family's 1533-position model. The record is from RNAcentral.